Molecule: ribosomal RNA, 666 nt
Filed under: uncultured Acidobacteriota bacterium
Lineage: Bacteria; Pseudomonadati; Acidobacteriota
Description: SSU rRNA
Rfam family: Bacterial small subunit ribosomal RNA
Source: RNAcentral
CUAGUUGGUAGGGUAACGGCCUACCAAGGCUUUGAUCGUUAGCUGGUCUGAGAGGAUGGCCAGCCACACUGGAACUGAGACACGGUCCAGACUCCUACGGGAGGCAGCAGCGGGGAAUCUUGCACAAUGGGCGAAAGCCUGAUGCAGCGACGCCGCGUGGGGGAUGAAGCAUCUCGGUGUGUAAACCCCUUUCGACCCGGAAGAAUGCCUCGCAAGAGGACUGACGGUACGGGUAUAAGAAGCCCCGGCUAACUACGUGCCAGCAGCCGCGGUAAGACGUAGGGGGCCAGCGUUGUUCGGAAUUACUGGGUGUAAAGGGUUCGUAGGCGGUGUGGCAAGUUGGGAGUGAAAUCUCUGGGCUCAACCCAGAGGCUGCUUCCAAAACUGCUGUGCUUGAGUGUGGGAGAGGCGCGUGGAAUUGCAGGUGUAGCGGUGAAAUGCGUAGAUAUCUGCAGGAACACCCGUGGCGAAAGCGGCGCGCUGGACCACUACUGACGCUGAGGAACGAAAGCUAGGGGAGCAAACAGGAUUAGAUACCCUGGUAGUCCUAGCCCUAAACGAUCAGGACUUGGGGUGCCACCCGUUCGGGUGUCGUCCCGGAGCUAACGCGUUAAGUCCUGCACCUGGGGAGUACGGUCGCAAGACUGAAACUCAAAGGAAUUGACG